GAAAGUCCAAUAUCUGGAGCAAAACAGGCUGCCUUCCCUUCAAAUGCAAAGCCACAGAAAAGGCGUGGGGUGUCCACUGCCACCGAUUUACUCAACACAGUGUCAGCCGAUUCACCACCUGUGGCUUCCAAGUGAGGACACAAGGAUCCUCUUCUUCCAAAUGACCUGACCUGGAGGGAAGACACCUGGAUAGUGCUGAAAAGAGCUUGAAGAUCAAAUGGCAAGGGGGAGUGCUGCACUCCACCGGCACUACUGGAAAUUGGGCUGGUCUUGUAAACAACAUAGAUCAGCCUGGUAGAGCUGAAUACUGAGUGUUUCUCAGGCACUUGGGGAACUGUGCCACCCUGACUUACAGCCAGUCGAUUAUGGACUGAAACUCUACAAACCGUGAGCUAAAUAAACCUUUCCCCCACCA
Long non-coding RNA from Chinchilla lanigera (long-tailed chinchilla), 415 nucleotides. RefSeq lists it as uncharacterized. NCBI's taxonomy places the organism in Eukaryota, Metazoa, Chordata, Mammalia, Rodentia, Chinchillidae. The record is from RefSeq and is a predicted model, not a curated record. The transcript is spliced from 2 exons.